This 956-nucleotide ribosomal RNA is filed under the name uncultured bacterium. RNAcentral describes it as "bacterial SSU rRNA". It matches the Rfam family "Bacterial small subunit ribosomal RNA", at positions 37 to 983 of the family's 1533-position model. The record is from RNAcentral.
CGGGGGGGUGCUAUACAUGCAGUCGAGCGAAUGGAUUAAGAGCUUGCUCUUAUGAAGUUAGCGGCGGACGGGUGAGUAACACGUGGGUAACCUGCCCAUAAGACUGGGAUAACUCCGGGAAACCGGGGCUAAUACCGGAUAAUAUUUUGAACCGCAUGGUUCGAAAUUGAAAGGCGGCUUCGGCUGUCACUUAUGGAUGGACCCGCGUCGCAUUAGCUAGUUGGUGAGGUAACGGCUCACCAAGGCAACGAUGCGUAGCCGACCUGAGAGGGUGAUCGGCCACACUGGGACUGAGACACGGCCCAGACUCCUACGGGAGGCAGCAGUAGGGAAUCUUCCGCAAUGGACGAAAGUCUGACGGAGCAACGCCGCGUGAGUGAUGAAGGCUUUCGGGUCGUAAAACUCUGUUGUUAGGGAAGAACAAGUGCUAGUUGAAUAAGCUGGCACCUUGACGGUACCUAACCAGAAAGCCACGGCUAACUACGUGCCAGCAGCCGCGGUAAUACGUAGGUGGCAAGCGUUAUCCGGAAUUAUUGGGCGUAAAGCGCGCGCAGGUGGUUUCUUAAGUCUGAUGUGAAAGCCCACGGCUCAACCGUGGAGGGUCAUUGGAAACUGGGAGACUUGAGUGCAGAAGAGGAAAGUGGAAUUCCAUGUGUAGCGGUGAAAUGCGUAGAGAUAUGGAGGAACACCAGUGGCGAAGGCGACUCUCUGGUCUGUAACUGACACUGAGGCGCGAAAGCGUGGGGGAGCAAACAGGAUUAGAUACCCUGGUAGUCCACGCCGUAAACGAUGAGUGCUAAGUGUUAGAGGGUUUCCGCCCUUUAGUGCUGAAGUUAACGCAUUAAGCACUCCGCCUGGGAGUACGGCCGCAAAGCUGAACUCAAAGAUUUGACGGGGCCCGCACAAGCGUGGAGCAUGUGUUUAAUUCAAGCAACGCGAGAACCUUACAGGUCUUG